UACAGAGGGUGCGAGCGUUAAUCGGAAUUACUGGGCGUAAAGCGCGCGUAGGUGGUUAUUUAAGUCGGAUGUGAAAUCCCCGAGCUCAACUUGGGAAUUGCGUUCGAUACUGGGUAGCUAGAGUAUGGGAGAGGAAGGUAGAAUUCCAGGUGUAGCGGUGAAAUGCGUAGAGAUCUGGAGGAAUACCGAUGGCGAAGGCAGCCUUCUGGCCUAAUACUGACGCUGAGGUGCGAAAGCAUGGGGAGCAAACAGGAUUAGAUACCCCGGUAGUCC
Molecule: ribosomal RNA, 273 nt
Filed under: uncultured bacterium
Lineage: Bacteria
Description: partial 16S ribosomal RNA
Rfam family: Bacterial small subunit ribosomal RNA
Source: RNAcentral